AGCUGUCACUUAUAGAUGGGCCCGCGGCGCAUUAGCUAGUUGGUGAGGUAAUGGCUCACCAAGGCGACGAUGCGUAGCCGACCUGAGAGGGUGAUCGGCCACACUGGGACUGAGACACGGCCCAGACUCCUACGGGAGGCAGCAGUAGGGAAUCUUCCGCAAUGGACGAAAGUCUGACGGAGCAACGCCGCGUGAACGAAGAAGGCCUUCGGGUCGUAAAGUUCUGUUGUUAGGGAAGAACAAGUACCAGAGUAACUGCUGGUACC
RNAcentral lists this ribosomal RNA (266 nucleotides) under Bacillaceae bacterium CL4.73. Its description in RNAcentral is "partial 16S ribosomal RNA". It matches the Rfam family "Bacterial small subunit ribosomal RNA", at positions 210 to 479 of the family's 1533-position model. Lineage: Bacteria; Bacillati; Bacillota; Bacilli; Caryophanales; Bacillaceae. The record is from RNAcentral.